AUUGAACGCUGGCGGCAUGCUUUACACAUGCAAGUCGAACGGUAACAGGCCUUCGGGUGCUGACGAGUGGCGAACGGGUGAGUAAUGCAUCGGAACGUGCCCAAUCGUGGGGGAUAACGUAGCGAAAGUUACGCUAAUACCGCAUAAGCCCUGAGGGGGAAAGCAGGGGAUCGCAAGACCUUGCGCGAAUGGAGCGGCCGAUGUCAGAUUAGCUAGUUGGUGGGGUAAAGGCCUACCAAGGCGACGAUCUGUAGCGGGUCUGAGAGGAUGAUCCGCCACACUGGGACUGAGACACGGCCCAGACUCCUACGGGAGGCAGCAGUGGGGAAUUUUGGACAAUGGGCGCAAGCCUGAUCCAGCCAUGCCGCGUGCGGGACGAAGGCCUCGGU
RNAcentral lists this ribosomal RNA (389 nucleotides) under uncultured bacterium. RNAcentral's name for it is "bacterial SSU rRNA". It matches the Rfam family "Bacterial small subunit ribosomal RNA", at positions 29 to 423 of the family's 1533-position model. The record is from RNAcentral.